UCCGCUCUGUUGAACAGGGUUAUUAAUGUAACAAGUAAGCCAAAGUUCCCUUUCAGAUUCAAUUCUAAGUGUCCUCUAGUUUCAUAGUCUCAUUAUAAUAAUUCGUCUCAAAGCAACACCUGUAUUUUAAAUUUUUUAUAAGGGACAUAACAUGUCUAACACAACUACUGGCACAGUAAAAUGGUUCAACGAAACUAAAGGUUUUGGUUUUAUUUCUCAAAGCAAUGGCGGUCCAGAUGUAUUCGUACACUUCCGUGCAAUCGCUUCUGAAGGUUUCAAAACUUUAGCUGAAGGCCAAAAAGUAUCUUUUGUUGUAGAACAAGGUGCUAAAGGUCCUCAAGCUGCUAACGUUCGUGCUGAAUAAUUUCGCAUAAGCGUAUGAGCGUUGGUGACUAGCCAACGCUCUUAUA
RNAcentral lists this small RNA (410 nucleotides) under Vibrio aestuarianus. RNAcentral describes it as "cspA". It matches the Rfam family "cspA thermoregulator". The record is from RNAcentral. Lineage: Bacteria; Pseudomonadati; Pseudomonadota; Gammaproteobacteria; Vibrionales; Vibrionaceae.